UGCAGAUCUCUGUGCUUUUGCUGUCCUGCCUCCUUUUCUAUUAGUUUCCUAUUAUAUUUCAGCUCCCUGCUUGUGCCUGCAUACUCACUCUGAUCUGGGAUCCCUGCCAGCUGCUCCAGCCGUGUCCCAAUGCCAGCUGGGAUGUGUAGGUGCAGUGAUAGGAUGAUGCUCAUAGUACUGGGCAUUUAUUUUUUGACAUUUUGCAGAAAGCAAUUUCUCUGUGAGCUCUCAGCCUCUUCAGGAACAUGCUGUUAAUGGGCUUACUCCCAAAGUGCUGUAACCUGAUGAAGAGGCAAUGGCAUUUCACAAUGUGUACUCCAUUCACAGCUACCUGCUUAAAAUGUGGAAGGUGGAGGGGAUGCCUGAUGGGCUAUUCUGGAGGGUUAAAUACAAAUCAUCACACUGCUUUAUUGGAUAAGCUUCUCUACAUCGGCAGAUCACGUGCUUGGGAGACCAAAUCAGCUCACAUCUCUGGUAGUGGCAGUGGCUUUGGCACGGCUAUCCAGGAUUUCACGUCAGAAUUGAGGAAAAAUUUGCCACAAAAUUGGAGGAAAUAUGAUUUGAAAAUGGAAGGACGGGCAGUGAAAAUUUUGUAUUGGGA
RNAcentral lists this long non-coding RNA (601 nucleotides) under Zonotrichia albicollis (white-throated sparrow). Its description in RNAcentral is "lncRNA (ENSZALG00000000449.1)". The record is from RNAcentral. Lineage: Eukaryota; Metazoa; Chordata; Aves; Passeriformes; Passerellidae.